GAUGAACGCUGGCGGCGUGCUUAACACAUGCAAGUCGAACGAAGCAUUUUAAACAGAUUAUUCGGUAUGAAGUUUUUAAUGACUGAGUGGCGGACGGGUGAGUAACGCGUGAGUAACCUGCCCUGGANAGGGGGACAACAGUUGGAAACGACUGCUAAUACCGCAUAAGCCCACGGAACCGCAUGGUUCUGAGGGAAAAGGAUUUAUUCGCUUCAGGAUGGACUCGCGUCCAAUUAGCUAGUUGGUGAGGUAACGGCCCACCAAGGCGACGAUUGGUAGCCGGACUGAGAGGUUGAACGGCCACAUUGGGACUGAGACACGGCCCAGACUCCUACGGGAGGCAGCAGUGGGGGAUAUUGCACAAUGGGGGAAACCCUGAUGCAGCGACGCCGCGUGGAGGAAGAAGGUUUUCGGAUUGUAAACUCCUGUCGUUAGGGACGAUAAUGACGGUACCUAACAAGAAAGCACCGGCUAACUACGUG
Molecule: ribosomal RNA, 482 nt
Filed under: uncultured bacterium
Lineage: Bacteria
Description: bacterial SSU rRNA
Rfam family: Bacterial small subunit ribosomal RNA
Source: RNAcentral